This 26-nucleotide non-coding RNA is filed under the name Rattus norvegicus (Norway rat). Lineage: Eukaryota; Metazoa; Chordata; Mammalia; Rodentia; Muridae. The record is from RNAcentral.
UGCCAGCCUGUUCUCUCUAAACAUCA